AAAUCUGCUAUCUGUUGUAAUCUUGGAGGAGCGUUGGGUAUGAGUGUGAGUAGUUUAUCACCCUAUUCUCCUUCCACGAGUGUAGCAAGAGAACUCAAGCAAAAACCCAACAUAAUCACCCCCUACACAAACCGUGAAAUUCAUAGGGUAGCAAGACUCAUAAGCAUCCUUCUCCUUCGGUCCACUGUUCGGCUGUGUGCCCAUGCAAAGAAGCUGUAUUAUUUUUAUUACUUCCUUGUUCCUCAUGAUUAUCUUCGCCCUGUUGGAGAUUCUGCUGCAUGCAGAAAGAUAUCUUGACUCUCACCCUCCACCCUCUUCAUUUGGACGCACAUUCAUCCUCUAGUGGAGAAGUUUUGAUUGGGUCUUUUCUUCCAUGGCAUGCCACUAAAACCGAUUUCUUGGAGCUGUAGAGAAGAGAGAGGUGGCACAGCUUUUGGUCCCUGUUCUCCAUGGCCGAUUUGCACAACUUGGGUUCCUUGCAAGUAAUUGUGCGCAAGAUCUUAAAAUGUGGAACGGUUUGGUGAUCUUGGAUUAAAAGAUUAUACACAUCGAGGCUUCGUGAUGAGGACAUAGGAGGUGGCAUGACCAAGACAACAAACUUGGAGGACAUACAAGGUCUUGGAGGUCCAAUGACGAGAGCAAAAGCUAAAAAGGCUAAAGAGGCUCUAAAUCUCUUAUUUGAGGACAAAUUCUUCUAAAGAAGGAGGGAAUGAUGAGGACAUAGGAGGUGGCAUGACCAAGACAACAAACUUGGAGGACAUACAAGGUCUUGGAGGUCCAAUGAUGAGAGCAAAAGCUAAAAAGGCUAAAGAGGCUCUAAAUCUCUUGGUGACCACUUUACUUGAGACAAGCCCAAGUCUAAAGGAAGAAGAGCCCAAAAUGAUACACUUAAUUCAAAUUGAAGACUUUGAAGAAUAAGCCUCAAUGGAUAUGCAUGAAGGAUUUAUUUUUACUUGGCCCAAAUUCUGCACUUAAUUUUAUUUUUCUUAUAUUCAGUUAAACUUUUGUAAUAAGGCUUAGUGGGCUGGAUUAUUGGGCUGUCUAUUUUCUUUUAUGUGUAAGCACUUUUAGGUUAAGCUCAAUAUGGAUGUUGCCCACUAUAUAAGGGAACACCAUAGCUUUUGAAGGGAAAUUCAGAAUAAAAAGAUAACCUUUUUUUGGUGAGAGACUAGCUUCUCUAGGGUUCUUUUGAGAAUCUCAGAACUUAUCAAGGGUGCUAAUCCUUGUGGCGUUCAUAGGCUAAUCAAUAUUUGGAUUGUGGCGCCUUCCAGUUAUCGUUUCUUGAUUGUGUUCACAAAUUCUUGUAUCAAACCCUAUCACCCAAACCUUCAAUUUUCGUCCAAAAUAGUCUCGGUUCAUAUCUCCUGAUAUACGCGUUGGUUUUCGGUGAUUCUUGAGUCAAAGUCGCGAUUCAGAAAGAGAUCU
Molecule: long non-coding RNA, 1425 nt
Organism: Gastrolobium bilobum
Lineage: Eukaryota; Viridiplantae; Streptophyta; Magnoliopsida; Fabales; Fabaceae
Exons: 4
Source: RefSeq, a predicted model, not a curated record